This 230-nucleotide ribosomal RNA is filed under the name uncultured bacterium. RNAcentral describes it as "partial 16S ribosomal RNA". It matches the Rfam family "Bacterial small subunit ribosomal RNA", at positions 563 to 791 of the family's 1533-position model. The record is from RNAcentral.
AAGCGCGCGUAGGUGGUUUGUUAAGUUGGAUGUGAAAGCCCCGGGCUCAACCUGGGAACUGCAUCCAAAACUGGCAAGCUAGAGUAUGGUAGAGGGUGGUGGAAUUUCCUGUGUAGCGGUGAAAUGCGUAGAUAUAGGAAGGAACACCAGUGGCGAAGGCGACCACCUGGACUGAUACUGACACUGAGGUGCGAAAGCGUGGGGAGCAAACAGGAUUAGAUACCCCUUGU